Molecule: long non-coding RNA, 478 nt
Organism: Solanum pennellii
Lineage: Eukaryota; Viridiplantae; Streptophyta; Magnoliopsida; Solanales; Solanaceae
Exons: 2
Source: RefSeq, a predicted model, not a curated record
CCUUUUGGCACAUAUACCAUGGAAGAAAAGGAAAAUCUCCCUUCCCAAAUAAAUCAGUUUGUUAAUGAAACUCUUGAUUUAUUUGGAAAACAAGUAGGACCCGUUUUCUCUAGCUUUUUAGGGAUCUACCAAGGAGUUUCAUUACUGGCUCGUAGAUUGGCUCAGGUCAUUGUCACCUUGAUACUAUUGAAGUAGCUUAUUUCCAAUUCAGAAUCCAAGUACUUGGUGCAACUGGAUGAAGAUACGACAAGUAAUAAUGCUGGAUAUUCGGGCUUGUUCUGCCUCUUUUAUGUCAACAUUUCACUACAAUGACCAAAUGUUCUAUUGAGCAAAUUGUUUCUACUUAAUUGAUAUGUUUUUUUGUAAAAAUAUUUCAUCAUAGAAGUCAACGUUCUUUUGCCGUAGAUUGGAGUUCAUUAUGUAUUUGGAUUAGAAAAUGUAAAAUAUUGAUAGAAAUUACAUGGAGUCUGAUUUGCUA